This 483-nucleotide ribosomal RNA is filed under the name uncultured bacterium. Its description in RNAcentral is "partial 16S ribosomal RNA". It matches the Rfam family "Bacterial small subunit ribosomal RNA", at positions 28 to 507 of the family's 1533-position model. The record is from RNAcentral.
GACGAACGCUGGCGGCGUGCUUAACACAUGCAAGUCGAACGCUGAAGCUCAGCUUUUGUUGGGUGGAUGAGUGGCGAACGGGUGAGUAACACGUGAGUAACCUGCCUCCUUCUUUGGGAUAACGCCCGGAAACGGGUGCUAAUACUGGAUAUUCACUGGUCUUCGCCUGGGGGUUGGUGGAAAGGGUUUUUCUGGUGGGGGAUGGGCUCGCGGCCUAUCGGCUUGUUGGUGGGGUGAUGGCCUACCAAGGCUUUGACGGGUAGCCGGCCUGAGAGGGUGACCGGUCACAGUGGGACUGAGAUACGGCCCAGACUCCUACGGGGGGCAGCAGUGGGGAAUAUUGCACAAUGGGCGCAAGCCUGAUGCAGCGACGCCGCGUGAGGGAUUGAGGCCGUCGGGUUGUGAACCUCGUUCGCUCAUGGUCAAGCCGCAACAAUGGUUGUGGUGAGGGUAGUGGGUAAAGAAGCGCCGGCUAACUACGUG